This 132-nucleotide microRNA precursor is filed under the name Physcomitrium patens. Its description in RNAcentral is "Physcomitrella patens miR1061 stem-loop (ppt-MIR1061)". The record is from miRBase by way of RNAcentral. Lineage: Eukaryota; Viridiplantae; Streptophyta; Bryopsida; Funariales; Funariaceae.
GUGCUGGGCACGCAAUAAGCAUGUGAGCAUUAUUUCAUAGACUACUCAAACCUCUCAAAGGUAGGGAUAGACCUCUGAGAUGCUUUGAGUAGUCAAUGGAAUAAUGAUGCUGUCCAUAAACUUGAUGUGUGG